UACGUAUGGUGCAAGCGUUAUCCGGAUUUACUGGGCGUAAAGGGAGCGCAGGCGGCGCGCCAAGUCUGAUGUGAAACCCCGGGGCUCAACCCCGGGCAUGCAUUGGAAACUGGCGGGCUGGAGUGCCGGAGAGGUAAGCGGAAUUCCUAGUGUAGCGGUGGAAUGCGUAGAUAUUAGGAGGAACCCCAGUGGCGAAGGCGGCUUACUGGACGGCAACUGACGCUGAGGCUCGAAAGCGUGGGGAGCAAACAGG
Molecule: ribosomal RNA, 253 nt
Filed under: uncultured bacterium
Lineage: Bacteria
Description: partial 16S ribosomal RNA
Rfam family: Bacterial small subunit ribosomal RNA
Source: RNAcentral